AGACUCUGGUUUUCUUCAUUACGCACAAGCCUUUCGCCUUUUACUAAAGACUUCCGUGGAGAGGAACCUUACGAGUUCAACUUAUUUGGAGCGGCUUUGCUUCUUGCAGAGCC
RNAcentral lists this small nuclear RNA (113 nucleotides) under Oncorhynchus tshawytscha (Chinook salmon). Its description in RNAcentral is "U5 spliceosomal RNA". It matches the Rfam family "U5 spliceosomal RNA". From Rfam's summary of the family: U5 RNA is a component of both types of known spliceosome. The precise function of this molecule is unknown, though it is known that the 5' loop is required for splice site selection and p220 binding, and that both the 3' stem-loop and the Sm site are important for Sm protein binding and cap methylation. Lineage: Eukaryota; Metazoa; Chordata; Actinopteri; Salmoniformes; Salmonidae. The record is from Rfam by way of RNAcentral.